GACGGAGGGUGCUAGCGUUGUUCGGAAUUACUGGGCGUAAAGGGUGCGUAGGCGGGUCUUUAAGUCAGGGGUGAAAUCCCGGAGCUCAACUCCAGAACUGCCUUUGAUACUGAAGAUCUUGAGUUCGGGAGAGGUGAGUGGAACUGCGAGUGUAGAGGUGAAAUUCGUAGAUAUUCGCAAGAACACCAGUGGCGAAGGCGGCUCACUGGCCCGAUACUGACGCUGAGGCACGAAAGCGUGGGGAGCAAACAGG
RNAcentral lists this ribosomal RNA (253 nucleotides) under uncultured bacterium. RNAcentral's name for it is "partial 16S ribosomal RNA". It matches the Rfam family "Bacterial small subunit ribosomal RNA", at positions 524 to 776 of the family's 1533-position model. The record is from RNAcentral.